RNAcentral lists this ribosomal RNA (699 nucleotides) under Helvella acetabulum. Its description in RNAcentral is "eukaryotic LSU rRNA". It matches the Rfam family "Eukaryotic large subunit ribosomal RNA", at positions 74 to 782 of the family's 3401-position model. Lineage: Eukaryota; Fungi; Ascomycota; Pezizomycetes; Pezizales; Helvellaceae. The record is from RNAcentral.
AUUGCCCCAGUAACGGCGAGUGAAGCGGCAGGAGCUCAAAUUUGAAAUCUGGGGUCGCCGACCUCCGAGUUGUAAUUUGGAGAGGCAUCUUCGGGGGGGAGCGCCGGCCCCAUGUUCCUUGGAACAGGACGUCGCAGAGGGUGAGAAUCCCGUGCCAGGCCGGCCGCCUCCGCCCCAUUGAGGGGCCUUCGACGAGUCGAGUUGUUUGGGAAUGCAGCUCCAAGUGGGUGGUAAAUUUCAUCUAAAGCUAAAUACCGGCGGGAGACCGAUAGCGCACAAGUAGAGUGAUCGAAAGAUGAAAAGCACUUUGAAAAUAGAGUCAAAAAGUACGUGAAAUUGUUGAAAGGGAAGCGCUUGAGACCAGACCCAGACCCGGGCAAACACCGCGCCCCUCGGGGCCGUGCAAUUGCCCGUGGCUGGGCCAGCAUCAGUCGGCCCGGCGGGACAAAUGCGGGGGGAAUGUGUCUCCCCUCGGGGAGCGUUUAUUAGCCCCUCGCCCAAUGCCGCCCGAGCCGACUGUGGACCGCGCCUCGGCUAGGAUGCUGGCUUAAUGGCCUUCAGCGACCCGUCUUGAAACACGGACCAAGGAGUCUAACAUCUAUGCGAGUGUUUGGGCUUCAAACCCUUGCGCGGAAUGAAAGUGAGCGGAGGUGGGAACCCCCCCGCGGGGCGCACCAUCGACCGAUCCUGAUGUCCUCG